ACAUGCAAGUCGAACGAUGAAGCCCAGCUUGCUGGGUGGAUUAGUGGCGAACGGGUGAGUAACACGUGAGUAACCUGCCCUUGACUCUGGGAUAAGCGUUGGAAACGACGUCUAAUACCGGAUACGAGCUUCCACCGCAUGGUGAGUUGCUGGAAAGAAUUUUGGUCAAGGAUGGACUCGCGGCCUAUCAGCUUGUUGGUGAGGUAACGGCUCACCAAGGCGACGACGGGUAGCCGGCCUGAGAGGGUGACCGGCCACACUGGGACUGAGACACGGCCCAGACUCCUACGGGAGGCAGCAGUGGGGAAUAUUGCACAAUGGGCGAAAGCCUGAUGCAGCAACGCCGCGUGAGGGACGACGGCCUUCGGGUUGUAAACCUCUUUUAGCAGGGAAGAAGCGAAAGUGACGGUACCUGCAGAAAAAGCACCGGCUAACUACGUGCCAGCAGCCGCGGUAAUACGUAGGGUGCAAGCGUUGUCCGGAAUUAUUGGGCGUAAAGAGCUCGUAGGCGGUUUGUCGCGUCUGCUGUGAAAUCCCGAGGCUCAACCUCGGGUCUGCAGUGGGUACGGGCAGACUAGAGUGCGGUAGGGGAGAUUGGAAUUCCUGGUGUAGCGGUGGAAUGCGCAGAUAUCAGGAGGAACACCGAUGGCGAAGGCAGAUCUCUGGGCCGCUACUGACGCUGAGGAGCGAAAGGGUGGGGAGCAAACAGGCUUAGAUACCCUGGUAGUCCACCCCGUAAACGUUGGGCGCUAGAUGUGGGGACCAUUCCACGGUUUCCGUGUCGUAGCUAACGCAUUAAGCGCCCCGCCUGGGGAGUACGGCCGCAAGGCUAAAACUCAAAGGAAUUGACGGGGGCCCGCACAAGCGGCGGAGCAUGCGGAUUAAUUCGAUGCAACGCGAAGAACCUUACCAAGGCUUGACAUAUACGAGAACGGGCCAGAAAUGGUCAACUCUUUGGACACUCGUAAACAGGUGGUGCAUGGUUGUCGUCAGCUCGUGUCGUGAGAUGUUGGGUUAAGUCCCGCAACGAGCGCAACCCUCGUUCUAUGUUGCCAGCACGUUAUGGUGGGAACUCAUGGGAUACUGCCGGGGUCAACUCGGAGGAAGGUGGGGACGACGUCAAAUCAUCAUGCCCCUUAUGUCUUGGGCUUCACGCAUGCUACAAUGGCCAGUACAAAGGGCUGCAAUACCGUAAGGUGGAGCGAAUCCCAAAAAGCUGGUCCCAGUUCGGAUUGAGGUCUGCAACUCGACCUCAUGAAGUCGGAGUCGCUAGUAAUCGCAGAUCAGCAACGCUGCGGUGAAUACGUUCCCGGGCCUUGUACACACCGCCCGUCAAGUCAUGAAAGUCGGUAACACCCGAAGCCAGUGGCCUAACCGCAAGGAUGGAGCUGUCUAAGGUGGGAUCGGUAAUUAGGACUAAG
This 1421-nucleotide ribosomal RNA is filed under the name Plantibacter flavus. RNAcentral describes it as "bacterial SSU rRNA". It matches the Rfam family "Bacterial small subunit ribosomal RNA". Lineage: Bacteria; Bacillati; Actinomycetota; Actinomycetes; Micrococcales; Microbacteriaceae. The record is from RNAcentral.